GAUGAACGCUGGCGGCGUGCUUAACACAUGCAAGUCGAACGGAAAGGCCCAAGCUUGCUUGGGUACUCGAGUGGCGAACGGGUGAGUAACACGUGGGUGAUCUGCCCUGCACUUCGGGAUAAGCCUGGGAAACUGGGUCUAAUACCGGAUAGGACCACUUCUUGGAUGUUGUGGUGGAGAGUUUUGUCGGUGUGGGAUGAGCUCGCGGCCUAUCAGCUUGUUGGUGGGGUAAUGGCCUACCAACGCGUCGACGGGUAGCCGGACUGUGAGGGUGUACGGCGGCAUUGGGACUGAGAGGCGGCCCAGACUCCGACGGGAGGCAGCAGUGGGGAAUAUUGCACGAUGGGCGCAGGCCUGAUGCAGAGAGGCCGCGUGGGGGAUGACGGCCUUCGGGUUGUAGACUCCUUUCGCUAGGGACGAAGCGUUUUGUGACGGUACCUGGAGAAGAAGCACCGGCUAACUACGUG
Molecule: ribosomal RNA, 467 nt
Filed under: uncultured bacterium
Lineage: Bacteria
Description: partial 16S ribosomal RNA
Rfam family: Bacterial small subunit ribosomal RNA
Source: RNAcentral